Molecule: long non-coding RNA, 1456 nt
Filed under: Homo sapiens (human)
Lineage: Eukaryota; Metazoa; Chordata; Mammalia; Primates; Hominidae
Description: novel transcript, antisense to VIPR2
Source: RNAcentral
GGGGUUAGGACCUGGAGAAGGAGCUGCCCACUGCUUCUGGACAGGGCCCAGGGUCCCGCCUGGCACAGAGACACAGGGCGCCAGUGUGCUGGUCACUGUGAUGAUGCACAGUGCCGGACACACGUGAUGAUGCCCAGAGGCCACCUGCCUAGCAUAGGACAGACAGCCCCCAAACCUCCCACCUGCUGGAAGGAUGAGAAAUCAAAAGAGAACACAAUGUUUCAUUAGAAUGGUGACUUAUUUCUGGAACACCUGGGUUUGUGGGCAGAAAUGAUUCCACGUGUGUUCUAUGACCCAGCUCUCCUUACAGGUCAUGGGAGGAGCAGCCAUCACAUGUGUAGAGUGUUCUGUAGACCACAGAGCACCAUGCAGACGCAAGCCUGACUUUCAUUUCUUUCUAAGACUCUACAGUUAUCCCACCAAAUUUAGUCUCUGAAGCCUCAGCUUCUGUGGUACGAUGCCAGGUGGCUUCACCCCAGCCCUGCUCGGCCCCCAGUCGCAUCCACAUCUCUCUAAGUAUUUGCAAAGGAUGCCCAUUUAAUGCCCCAAAGAUGAAUUCCAUGCGGACAUUCCAUGGGGACCAUCUGUCCACAGUUUGUGCAUGUCCUCGCAUAGCUCACGUUUUUGUGAUCAGUUGAAAAAGCAGAAGCAUAUUUCCCCUGCAUUUCAGAUCAUCUAGCUGCGACUACUCAAGUGCCCAGACUUGGGGAAACACCACAAGUUUCCUCACAAUAACAAGGUGGUGUCAUGCUCCCUGCUUGGGAAAAAGGUGGAAUAAGCAUUUAACCCAAAGCCAACUGGGAGUUUUCAUUCUCACAGGCAGCAGCAGGAUGCUUCCAGGCAGGGCCAGAGCCUCACUGACCUGGGCGCCUGGUGCCCAGAUGGCUUCUGUCUGGCAGAGGCUGGACUGGAUUCUGGUGCUUGCUAAUGUGCAAACUACCAGGCUGCUGGGUGCUUUCUGGAAGCCUCAGAACCAUGCCAUCGACUAGGAAAAGCCAGAGUCCAUGCCAAUUCCCUCCAGAUCUCCAGGAGAAUGGAUGCAGCCCAAGCUGCUCAGUAGAAAUGCUACUGAUUGGAGGGAACAGUUCUUAAAGUUCAGGUUCUCUAAAGUGACUUAGGUUCUAACUCAGGGGUGGGCAGUGAUGGUAAUGCAAGCAUGGUCCCUACCUUCAGGCUGCUUUGCUGGCAACUCGGGGUGAGAAAGUCAAAAUCUUCCUUUCGGAAUCUCCUUCUCCUCUGUCCCAAUCUCUUUUCCAAAACUCUGCUUUAAAACACUACAGCAUUAUUACUUCCCAAAGUCUUUACCCUUUAACCUCUGUCCAAGAUAAAAGUAAAUUCUCCAUAGUGCUCCAAAGUAUUAUGCUUUCUGUUUCCAGAUGUUUCCUAUGUUUUCUAUUUUUCUGAAUAGAUUUCUUCACACUAUGAAAAUCUGAAUCACUCACAAAAACAAACAAAA